GACGGAGGGGGCAAGCGUUGUCCGGACUUACUGGGCGUAAAGGGCCCGUAGGCGGCCUGUUGCGUCGGUGCUGAAAGCGCCCCGCUUAACGGGGUGAGGCGUGCCGAUACGAACAGGCUCGAGGCAGGCAGAGGGUGGCGGAAUUCCGGGUGUAGUGGUGAAAUGCGUAGAGAUCCGGAGGAACGCCUGUGGCGCAAGCGGCCACCUGGGCCUGACCUGACGCUGAGGGGCGAAAGCGUGGGGAGCGAACCGG
Molecule: ribosomal RNA, 253 nt
Filed under: uncultured Heliothrix sp.
Lineage: Bacteria; Bacillati; Chloroflexota; Chloroflexia; Chloroflexales; Roseiflexaceae
Description: partial 16S ribosomal RNA
Rfam family: Bacterial small subunit ribosomal RNA
Source: RNAcentral